Molecule: ribosomal RNA, 468 nt
Filed under: uncultured bacterium
Lineage: Bacteria
Description: partial 16S ribosomal RNA
Rfam family: Bacterial small subunit ribosomal RNA
Source: RNAcentral
GAUGAACGCUGGCGGCGUGCUUAACACAUGCAAGUCGAACGGAAAGGCCCUGCUUUUGUGGGGUGCUCGAGUGGCGAACGGGUGUGUAACACGUGCGUAACCUGCCCUUGACAUUGGGAUAACUUCAGGAAACUGGGGCUAAUACCGGAUAGGAGCUCCUGCUGCAUGGUGGGGGUUGGAAAGUUUCGGCGGUUGGGGAUGGUCUCGCGGCUUAUCAGCUUGUUGGUGGGGUAGUGGCUUACCAAGGCUUUGGCGGGUAGCCGGCCUGAGAGGGUGACCGGCGACAAUGGGACUGCGAGACGGCCCAGACUCCUACGGGAGGCAGCAGUCGGGAAUAUUGCGCAAUGGGCGGACGCCUGAUGCAGCGACGCCGCGUGCGGGAUGACGGCCUUCGGGUUGUAAACCGCUUUGGACUGUAACGAAGCGUGAGUGACGGUACCGAGUAAAAAAGCACCGGCUAACUACGUG